This 497-nucleotide ribosomal RNA is filed under the name uncultured bacterium. RNAcentral describes it as "partial 16S ribosomal RNA". It matches the Rfam family "Bacterial small subunit ribosomal RNA", at positions 28 to 507 of the family's 1533-position model. The record is from RNAcentral.
GAUGAACGCUGGCGGCGUGCCUAAUACAUGCCAGUCGAGCGAACAGAUAAGGAGCUUGCUCCUUUGACGUUAGCGGCGGACGGGUGAGUAACACGUGGGUAACCUACCUAUAAGACUGGGAUAACUUCGGGAAACCGGAGCUAAUACCGGAUAAUAUUUCGAACCGCAUGGUUCGAUAGUGGAAGAUGGUUUUGCUAUCACUUAUAGAUGGACCCGCGCCGUAUUAGCUAGUUGGUAAGGUAACGGCUUACCAAGGCGACGAUACGUAGCCGACCUGAGCGGGUGAUCGGCCACACUGGAACUGAGACACGGUCCAGACUCCUACGGGAGGCAGCAGUAGGGAAUCUUCCGCAAUGGGCGAAAGCCUGACGGAGCAACGCCGCGUGAGUGAUGAAGGUCUUCGGAUCGUAAAACUCUGUUAUUAGGGAAGAACAUACGUGUAAGUAACUGUGCACGUCUUGACGGUACCUAAUCAGAAAGCCACGGCUAACUACGUG